Molecule: long non-coding RNA, 1089 nt
Organism: Mastomys coucha (southern multimammate mouse)
Lineage: Eukaryota; Metazoa; Chordata; Mammalia; Rodentia; Muridae
Exons: 3
Source: RefSeq, a predicted model, not a curated record
CUGACCGUGUCCCUUAAAGAAAGUCACCACCCCGUUGAAGCCAUGAUUUUCUAUCUUCAUUCCGCAGGCCCUCAUUCACCACGAGAUUAACUCGGCUGGUUGCAGUGAGAAGGGACAGAGCAGGCUCUGAUAAGAGGCCCGAGAUGGAAGAGAGCCCCAAACCAGUCUACCUGCUUAAGGAAGAUUCUCUCUGUGAUUGCUACUCUGAGACCCCAUGGUCCUAACGGACACUUCUGUUAUAGAUAACAGGUGUUUGGAGAGAGGACGAAAUCUGUGUGUAUGGGCAUACAGAGAGAUAUUCCAGAAGUCGAGGAGACCAAGCUUGCCAGCUAACAACGAGCUUAUUAUCUUCCAUUUCCCUUGGAUGAGACUAACAACCAGGCUCAGAGGCCAACUGAAUGGCAGACAGUCCCCAGGAUACCCUCCUGGUGAUAAAGGGUGGUGGAAGAUAAGCCACCAAUCGCAGCCCUCAUUUAAAAAAACGAAAUCUUGGCAUUCUAGAGAAGGCAACCUUGCAUAGGAGUGAACCUUGCUUCCCGUCACUAGCCUUCCUGGCUCCAUGUCGGUGUGUGUGCUGCAUACACAGGGUACAUCGAUGCAAGGAAAGUGGAAGAGAGAAAAAGAACACUUGCUAGUGGGGAGGGGGGGAGAAACUGAGCCAGGGAGGGGGGAGGAAACGUUUCUCAAGCUCAUAAGCAUCCACUGGAGAAAUCUCAAGGUCCCCGGAAUCACUCUUCCAGAUUGUGACCAAAGGCAAUAUAGAGUGCCACGAUCCUUUCUUCAUACAGAAACACUUAAGACGCAUCACCCUGAACGUGGGGGAGAAUAGGUCCCGAGAAACUAGAAGACGCUGGAACAGUAGCCCAGAGCGCUAUGAACUCAUGAAAAAUUAAUUCAAUCCUCAAAGUCAGUGUUGGUUAAGGGCUGUAGCUCCCCUUUGCAUUAUUAAAAGCACUGCUUUGUACCGACCAAUUAAUUUCAAAGGACCCACUCUUUGCAUUAGAAGCUAUCAAAGACAGAUGUCCUGAAAGGAUCCCCUCUAUCAAAGCUGGCAUGCCUCUGUUCUCCCAGAGUUAUUGAGAUUCUUAU